UGCCCCACCCCCUACAGACCCUCUGUUGUGCCCCACUCCUUGCAGACCCUCGGUUGCCCAUCAUUUUUCAUGCAUGCUAAGAACUCAUUAUAUUAUUUGAUUGAAAGAAGCUGGAUUGCACAAAAGGUGAAGUAGGGAAGUCCCCGUCAUCCCCAGUAGUAUCCAUGGCUGAUUUUAUGCAGAAAAUGGUAAAAAAGAAACACCAAGAUAUAGUGUAACAUCUUCAAAAUCGUAAGACAAGUAGUUCCCUGAGAAAUGCCCAUGAAAAAAGUUGAGUAGAUUUUGCAACUGAAUGCUACUACAGUACCUCAAAAGCUUUCAAUAUUUAGCAAAAGAGCACCAUGCCCCCAUGUCACAAAAAAAGCAAAAGCAAAAGCAAAAGGCAUUUUGUAAACCAGGCUCCAUGUUUGCGUAUCGUGAAGUUAGGAAAAAGCAAUUAGAAAACAAGGAGCAAAACAAUGAUUUAGAAGCUUCUGUGAACAAUGAAAGUGCUAUGGUUAUGACUAAUCCUUCUACACUAUCAAGAGUCGAUGAGGAUGAAAAUGCAGAGGACUUGGAGAUAACGGAAGUUGAAAAUGCACAUGAGUUUGAAGUACCGGAAGAUACUGAGAUUGAAGGAAGAAAGCAACAUCAACAAAGAUUGCUAAAAAUCAUUACGUCAUAAGCUGGUAAAUUUUCUCUUUUAUUUCAAUAAUCUAUACUAUGAAGAGUUAACAAAGAUUCUCUAUUUCAAUGUGUCUUUAAUAGCAACAAGAGGAUACUAAUAAGCAAGAACCUUCUCAAGGUAAGGUGUACAGAGAAUCAAGGAGAAGAAUUUCCGGAAAAAACAUAUUCCACCGGCUAUUAGGAAACUACGGAAAAUAUUGCCAAGAUGGAUGCUCUAGAUUCCAUCCAAAAUGAAGAAGGCAACUGAUCUAAGGAUCCUUACUUUGACGUCAUAAAGAAUCCCAAGCGCAAUAGUCGAUUACACCUUUACGGGAAAGGUGUGACGAAGAAUAGUUUAAAGAAAAGAAAUACAAACUCGAGAUUCAUAUUUCCUCAGGAAUUCAUACAAAGUAUGCGGACAUAAUUCGCGGAGGAGAUUUCUUCGAGCGUGACAUCAAUGAUUCUAUCUCAGAUUCAAGAAGCUAAUCCAGAAUUAAAUAUUGUCAUUCCUAAUUUUUAGAUUACGCUUGCACCAAGGGAUGAAUCUAGUGCUCCAAAUAAUAGUGAUGAAUCAAAUGGCCAAUCAUCUAUUGGGACACACUCUUUACAUCAGGUGAAUAAUGACGCAAGUGUAGAAGACCGAACUGAUAUCCUACAUUCAAUGACGAAUGGUGGAGGAUAAGUUUUAACAAAAGGAAUAUGGUGGAAGAUUAGUUAUCCUAAGAAAUUUCUAUAAACAAUUACUUUUUACAUAUAGUACUCAUUUUUUUAAAAAAAGGGAUAUGGUGGAAGCUAGCUAGUAUAUAUAUUGUUGUACGUACGGUUAAAAUGAUUUAGCUUAUUAUUUUAUACUUCAUUAUGUAAACAAUCCCAAGGCUAUGGAAUAGACUUUCAAGUUUUAUAGU
Long non-coding RNA from Beta vulgaris subsp. vulgaris (sugar beet), 1550 nucleotides. RefSeq lists it as uncharacterized. The record is from RefSeq and is a predicted model, not a curated record. The transcript is spliced from 4 exons. NCBI's taxonomy places the organism in Eukaryota, Viridiplantae, Streptophyta, Magnoliopsida, Caryophyllales, Amaranthaceae.